ACCCUGUGGCGGGUGCGAACCCCCGCCCGGCAGUGGCGGGGGCUGCUCCCAGCUUCUGGCUGUCGCGGACCUGCCGCCUCCUCCUACUCCGCAUCCGCCGAGCCUGCCCGGGUCCGGGCGCUUGUCUAUGGGCACCACGGGGAUCCAGCCAAGGUCGUCGAAUGAAAACUGAGGCAGAAGAGGUAAAAUCACUCGUCCAAGGUCACACAGCCAAGGUAUAACCAGGGAAUUGUUUCAGAGGUUUCCUUGGAUAUUCCUACAACUGAUAACAGCUGUCAUUUCUUCAGCAUCUACUGUGUAGAACCGUAAUUCCUGGGCACACAUGGCAGCUCAGAAAUGUUGCCUGACCUACUUUGAGGAGAUGAUUUGAGCGAAACACCCAUUCUAGCCUGGAUGACAUGAACAUCUCCGUUUGGCUUUGUGCUUAGACUCAAGAACCUGGAGCUAGCUGCUGUGGGAGGAUCAGAUGUCCGUGUGAAGAUGCUGGCGGCCCCUAUCAAUCCAUCUGACAUAAAUAUGAUCCAAGGAAACUACGGACUCCUUCCUGAACUGCCUGCUGUUGGAGGGAAC
This 570-nucleotide small RNA is filed under the name Pan troglodytes (chimpanzee). RNAcentral's name for it is "processed transcript". Lineage: Eukaryota; Metazoa; Chordata; Mammalia; Primates; Hominidae. The record is from RNAcentral.